GCUUUCCUGUGGCUCAGUCAGUAGAGCAUUGCACUAGCAAUGGAAAGAUUAUGGGUUCGCACCCAAAAGAAAGCA
Molecule: non-coding RNA, 75 nt
Organism: Danionella cerebrum
Lineage: Eukaryota; Metazoa; Chordata; Actinopteri; Cypriniformes; Danionidae
Source: the annotation of a GenBank genome assembly